CCUACGGGGGGCAGCAGUGAGGAAUAUUGGUCAAUGGACGAGAGUCUGAACCAGCCAAGUAGCGUGAAGGAUGACUGCCCUAUGGGUUGUAAACUUCUUUUAUAUGGGAAUAAAAUGUUCCACGUGUGGGCUUUUGUAUGUACCAUAUGAAUAAGGAUCGGCUAACUCCGUGCCAGCAGCCGCGGUAAUACGGAGGAUCCGAGCGUUAUCCGGAUUUAUUGGGUUUAAAGGGAGCGUAGGUGGAUUGUUAAGUCAGUUGUGAAAGUUUGCGGCUCAACCGUAAAAUUGCAGUUGAAACUGGCAGUCUUGAGUACAGUAGAGGUGGGCGGAAUGCGUGGUGUAGCGGUGAAAUGCUUAGAUAUCACGAAGAACUCCGAUUGCGAAGGCAGCUCACUGGACUGAAACUGACACUGAGGCUCGAAAGUGUGGGUAUCAAACAGGAUUAGAUACCCGUGUAGUC
This 460-nucleotide ribosomal RNA is filed under the name uncultured bacterium. Its description in RNAcentral is "partial 16S ribosomal RNA". It matches the Rfam family "Bacterial small subunit ribosomal RNA", at positions 338 to 795 of the family's 1533-position model. The record is from RNAcentral.